RNAcentral lists this ribosomal RNA (428 nucleotides) under uncultured bacterium. RNAcentral describes it as "partial 16S ribosomal RNA". It matches the Rfam family "Bacterial small subunit ribosomal RNA", at positions 354 to 796 of the family's 1533-position model. The record is from RNAcentral.
GUAGGGAAUAUUGCGCAAUGGACGAAAGUCUGAUCCAGCGACGCCGCGUGAGUGAUGAAGGCCUUCGGGUCGUAAAGCUCUGUUGCAGGGGAAGAACACAAUGACGGUACCCUGCUAGAAAGGAUCGGCUAACUUCGUGCCAGCAGCCGCGGUAAGACGAGGGAUCCUAGCGUUGUUCGGAAUUAUUGGGCGUAAAGCGGGUGCAGGUGGCUUGGUAAGUCAGAUGUGAAAGCCUGGGGCUUAACCCCAGAAGUGCAUUUGAUACUGCUGAGCUUGAGUGCUGGAGAGGCUAUUAGAAUUCCUGGUGUAGUGGUGAAAUACGUAGAUAUCAGGAGGAAUACCGGAGGCGAAGGCGGAUAGCUGGCCAGACACUGACACUCAGACCCGAAAGCGUGGGGAUCAAACAGGAUUAGAAACCCUUGUAGUCC